This 578-nucleotide long non-coding RNA is filed under the name Malus domestica (apple). RNAcentral describes it as "long non-coding RNA (MDOM_LNC016335)". Lineage: Eukaryota; Viridiplantae; Streptophyta; Magnoliopsida; Rosales; Rosaceae. The record is from RNAcentral.
UUUCCAUGUAAUUUUUAUUGAUAUCGAUAUUAUCCCGAUAUUUCCAUCGAUAUUUCCGUGUUUUCGGACUACCGAUAUUUCCGAUAUUACCGAUAUUUUCUUCCUUGUGGGGAAGUAUAACAUUAACUCUAAGUGUUGGUUUAAUCUACCGUUUUGAUGUGAUACUCAUUUUACAAAAUGUUUUUCAACGAUCCAACCAUCAAACUUGUUUUUACACACACCGAGAUCGCAUAUGUAAAAAAUCUCAAAAAACAAACAUUCAGAGAUUAGGUAACGAAACAAAAGUUUUCGAUGGUUAUAAACGAAAAAUCACAAUUUAACGGUUAUUUUAGCUCUGAUUUUGAUGAUUUUUUGUAGCUACACUCCUCGAUCCUAUAAGAAUGCGAUGAAUGAAUUCGAUCUUCAAUUUAAAAUAUUUACACUAGUGGAUAAAUCUUAUUUUAUAGUUAAUGGAAGUAUAACAUUAACUCUUAAGUGUUUGUUGAAUCUAUCAAUUUGAUAGGAUAUGCAUUAUACGAAACUAGUUUCAAUGAUCCAACCGUCAAAUAUGUUUGUAUAAACUCCAAGAUAGCAUGUGU